GAAUGCCGGGCCGUGGAGGGUGAUGGCCCCGUAGCCGUAUGCACGUCGUCCCGUGAUCGCGUGUCCCAAGUAGCGCGGGCCUCGUGGAAUCCCGCGUGAAUCCGCCCCGACCGUGGGGUGAGCCUGAGUAUACCCGUCUGACCGAUAGCGUACGAGUACCGUGAGGGAAAGGUGAAAAGCACCCCGGGAGGGGAGUGAAAGAGUUCCU
Molecule: ribosomal RNA, 208 nt
Filed under: Bifidobacterium jacchi
Lineage: Bacteria; Bacillati; Actinomycetota; Actinomycetes; Bifidobacteriales; Bifidobacteriaceae
Description: partial 23S ribosomal RNA
Rfam family: Bacterial large subunit ribosomal RNA
Source: RNAcentral